This 497-nucleotide ribosomal RNA is filed under the name uncultured bacterium. RNAcentral's name for it is "partial 16S ribosomal RNA". It matches the Rfam family "Bacterial small subunit ribosomal RNA", at positions 28 to 507 of the family's 1533-position model. The record is from RNAcentral.
GACGAACGCUGGCGGCGUGCCUAAUACAUGCCAGUCGAGCGAACAGACGAGGAGCUUGCUCCUCUGACGUUAUAGGCGGACGGAAGAGUCACACGUGGAUAACCUAACUAUAAGACUGGGAUACCUUCGGGAAACCGGAUCUAAUACCGGAUAAUAUAUUGAACCGCAUGGUUCACUAGUGAAAUUCGGUUUUUCUGUCACUUAUAGAUUGAUCCGCGCCGCAUUAGCUAGUUGGUAAGGUAACGGCUUAGCAAGGCAACGAUGCGUAGCCGACACGAGCGGGUGAUCCGACACACUGUAACUGAGACACGGCCCAGACUCCUACGCGAGGCAGCAGUAGGGAAUCUUCCGGAAUGGGCGAAUGGCUGACGUAGCAACGCCGCGUAAGUGAUGAAGGUCUUCUGAUCGUAAAGCUCUGUUAUUAGGGGAGAACUAAUGUGUAAGUAACUAUGCACGUAUUGACGGUACCGGAUCAGAAAGCCACGGCUAACUACGUG